This 431-nucleotide ribosomal RNA is filed under the name Actinomycetota bacterium. Its description in RNAcentral is "bacterial SSU rRNA". It matches the Rfam family "Bacterial small subunit ribosomal RNA", at positions 1 to 403 of the family's 1533-position model. The record is from RNAcentral. Lineage: Bacteria; Bacillati; Actinomycetota.
GUCGGAGAGUUUGAUCCUGGCUCAGGACGAACGCUGGCGGCGUGCCUAACACAUGCAAGUCGAGCGGACCCGUUCCAUCUCCGCGGAGUUAUCUCCAAGGAAGGAGCGGGUCAGCGGCGAACGGGUGAGUAACACGUGGGUAACCUACCCCGAAGACUGGGAUAACCCCGGGAAACCGGGGCUAAUACCGGAUACCUUCCCACCACCGCAUGGUGGAGGGAAGAAAGGUUGGCUUCGGCCUUCCGCUUCGGGAUGGGCCCGCGGCCCAUUAGCUUGUUGGUGGGGUAACGGCCUACCAAGGCGACGAUGGGUAGCCGGCCUGAGAGGGUGUCCGGCCACACUGGGACUGAGACACGGCCCAGACUCCUACGGGAGGCAGCAGUGAGGAAUAUUGCGCAAUGGGCGAAAGCCUGACGCAGCGACGCCGCGUG